Tachysurus fulvidraco (yellow catfish) is the source of this 2357-nucleotide long non-coding RNA. RefSeq lists it as uncharacterized. Lineage: Eukaryota; Metazoa; Chordata; Actinopteri; Siluriformes; Bagridae. The transcript is spliced from 2 exons. The record is from RefSeq and is a predicted model, not a curated record.
AAUGCCACCAGGGUCUCAGUAACAAUGAAAGUUCUGUUUUCUUAAAACAUUUCUGAUAAAGACGUAUUCAGUGUGAACACCAUCAAUAAAAUAUGUAUAGAUUUAUUACCAUUAGGAACAAAGGUAAGCAUUAAUAUAUGACAAAACCAAACAGUCAUGAUUAGAGGCGCUCGAUUCAGAUGAUUUUAUUUCUCGAUUAAACCUGACGUGAAGGCGUUUUCAGUUUGCAUAGAAUUAUCAUGAUAUUUUAGUGUCACCAUCUGGGAAGCGCCAUUGGUCGGGUGGAAAGGUUAAUAGUCAUAUGGAUCUUGUUGUUAUAUGUCAUGAAAUAGCUCGGACUUGACACGUGAGAUAUUACAUUAAUAUCCAUGGAGUUGAAUUAACAUCAACCGUGUUGCAUUGCCACUUACACUGUCCACGUCUAUCCAAAUGUACUGUAACACUGUACUAGUUUCUGUUCCGUUCAUCCGACACUUAAGACGAAUGCCAGGUGAAAACACACACUUGAUAAUAUUUAUACGAUGAACCCCAGUAGAAGCAGGUAAGUACCAGAAUAUAGAAUCAAGAAGGAAUUGUAUCUAAAGUAAAGCACAGUCAUGUGUAUAAUUGCCCUGUCCAGAUUUUUCCAUAUCAGCUGAGCUGACUAAGAGAGUGACAAGAAACAAGGUUCUGCAAAAAGCAUUCUGACUCAAGCUUCCCAAAAUGCUGGCCAUAAGUUAGGCUAGUAUGGAAUAUAAAAAACAGCCAGAAUUAAGACUUGAUCGAAAUGGAAGGUAUAUAAGUGUGUGUUUCAAGAGCUUUUGUUUAUUCCAGUGAUUUUGUUUUGCUUCUAUAGAACAAAAGGCAGAAGAGCACAAUUUGCUUCUCUUCAUCCACUUCCUGGCUCAGUUUGUGUUUGUGUGUGUGUGUGAGAGUGUGUGUGUGGUUUCAGGCAAUGAUUCAAGCAGUUGCUCAAAACCAAAAAAGUCUUUCCACAGCUCUUUUUUUUUUAUUUUGACAACAGCUUGUCAAAGUGGAAAAUCUGCAUUUUCCAACUCUUAGAUCCUGAUGAUGUUGUUGUUCUUCUUCUGUUGCUUGUCAUAUAUUUUCAUUGCAUUUUCUACUUUGUCAGAUCUUUAAACCCUGCCUGCCUGUCCUAACCCUGCUCUUUGUUGCUGCUCAGUGAGCUUCCCCCUCCUGCACAAUGUAAUUUCCGCUGGUCUGUCAUUCACAUUGUGAAUCCUUCAUUAUGUAUCAAAUAGCAGCAGAAUUUCUCAGUGCAACAGCAACAGAUGUCUUCUGUUUGUGUGUGUGCUGUGACAACGUGGAACGAUAGCAUUUGAUAUAAUAGGUAAGGAAAUAUAAUCUAAAAACAUGCUAUGCUUUCAAGAUGUUACGUAAGAAUUCUUUUGGGGCAGUGCUUUUGUCCUGGAUUUUGGCUGUGUGUGUGUGUGUGUGGUGUGUGUGUGUGUGUGUGUGUGUGUGUGUGUGUGUGUGUGUGUGUGUGUGUGUGUGUGUGUGUGUGUGUGUGUGUGUGUGUGUGUGUGUGUGUGUGUGUGUGUGUGUGUGUGUGUGUGUGUUUUGAGGUGCUCAGUGCAGUGCUAGGCCCACAUGAGUGUGAGAUUGUUAGAUGCCAUGCUGAAAAAACUUGUAGAUGUGCAGUAGGUUUAGGUGUUGGCUUUUCAAUGAGUUCUGGCACAAACAUAUUUACAUGCAAUUGUUCCUGGCAAGACAUGUUCAUGGUGUGAUAUUAUAUAAGGUUUGUAGCACUUUUUCUGAAAACGUUAAAUAAAUUAAAGUUUAAAAAAUGGUAGAGGCUCAAAUAGCAUUUAAAGUUGCGAAGCAACGCAGCAAUUAAAUGAACACAGCUACAAAGGUCUACUAUUUGUAUCAUCCAGCCUUCUUGCCGUCUGAUUAUCUGCUCUCUAGAAUGAACUCAUUUUCUUCAAUGCAACACAGAUCACUACGACUUGACCACUUCAUAAAAUCUAAGAUUUAGAUUUAUUUGAUUUAUUCAGCCAGGAUCUUAGAAGUCCAUUCGAUGAAGAUCAUUAAGAUUUUCCAGAAGGAUCCUGUUGCCCAUGACUUGAUUAUUUUAUUUUAUUUUUCAUGCUGAUUAAUUUGAUAUGCAUCUCUUAAAAGUUUCUCAUUUUCCUGACAUCAAACCACUUAACGUUUUACUGUAUGCUGAUUUUUUUUUUCAUUUUCUUGAAAAAAACGGAUAGCUAUUUUGCAAUUACAAUAAACGAAAUAUAUACAAAGUAUGAAAAAUGAAUAAUUUAUGAUGAAGUGAAUUAAACUAAAAUGAUGCCAUCAUGUCAUUGUGCUGAAAUCUGUAUAAAUAUUUAAUUAUAUAUUAAAAUACAUUUGCUAACCUA